Apteryx owenii (little spotted kiwi) is the source of this 1692-nucleotide long non-coding RNA. NCBI's taxonomy places the organism in Eukaryota, Metazoa, Chordata, Aves, Apterygiformes, Apterygidae. The record is from Ensembl.
CUGUUAACAUCUGCAUCCUGAAUUCCAGGGCCAAAUCACGAAAGUUCUGUGUACCUGUCAUUUACAAAAAACCUUCCUUUCAGUGACCCACUUGAGUUCACUGAGGUGCCUUUUUGUGAGCUGCGAGACCUCCAGUGCUAUAGCUGUACUUGUAGGUACCUAGCUCCUCUUAGUUUUGUAAGUCAAACUUCAGCAGUGGUUUCUGAGCUCUCAGAUGAAUAGAGGCAUUUCUCAUAGCCUUGUUUUGCACAGCCUUGCAGUCCUGGGUAGGCAGGAAGGCAGAUGCAUCCAGGGCUCCCUGCCACUAGCCGGCAUUGGGGUCUCCUCGUUCCACAAGGCUUGGUGUUGACUUGCCAUGCAAGGACAAGGAGCCAGCACUUUGAGCUUUGGGGACCAGCUGCAAAUUAAGGGUAGAAGCUUGUGUUUUAGGUAAUGCCCUCUGUGGAUCUGGCGCACUAUCUCCAUGGAAAUCUAAAGUACUGCCUUAGUGAAAGGGGCAGUCCUUGAUCUGUUUGUUUUAGGCUAGACUGAGGGCGAUUUGGAGCUUUUGUAAGUGUUGUCUUCCUGAGGUGUCACAACCUAACCAUGCAUUUCAGUUCUGCAAACUGGUUGUGAUGGCAGGGAUGAAGGAUUUUGGAGUAUUUCUGUAAAGUGCUUUUCUUAAUACCCCUUCCCCUGAAGCAUGUGCCCUUUGUCACAAAAUGUAGGCCUUUAAAAUAAAAUGUUUCUUGCAUUUUAACUUAUAGUUUUUAACUUACCACAGAGAGCUAAUGCUAAAAAUGGACUGACUUCUCUACUCUGAAAACCCAAGCAGCCAGUUCUGCAUUGCCUGGAGCCUCUAGAGCUCCUCUGGAUCGCUUUGUUCUGCACGAGCUUUGUGAGGGCUGAAGAAAUCCCACACCUGGCAUGGCUGCAACCUUCCUCUGUGCUUGGCCAUGGUUUCAACAUCUGCAAUUCCAUUUCCUUGGAAAAGAGAGCCGGCAGGACACCAGCCUGCUGCCGUUUAUGUGACGCACUGCUUCAAGAGGCCACCGGCUGAUAAGCUCAACGUGGUGGAGUCCUACAUAAACCUGCCCACCGUCCCCUUAAUCCACCCUUUUCUUGAACUCAUGCACAUACGUAAAAUUGCCGUAAUCGGAGAUGACAGCGAUCCCUGGGAUGCCGAGGCACAGGCAAGGACGUCACCGAGACCCGCUCACGCGUUCCUGCAUUCCCUGCUUGUGGCUGUUGCGCCAGGCAAUUGGACUUGCUCUGCAGGAAUUUUUUCAAAACCCCUCAAAAAGUGACCAUUUUCGUGACUCUAAUUCAAAUGCAAAGCGCUGAGACUUUUACCUCCCGCCAAGCCUCUCGGAGGGCGAAUUUGUCCCUGUAUCUGUAUGAGACGCGAUGCAGGCUGCUCUCCGUGAAGCUCCUGGUGGGGAGAAGGGAGGCUGGAGGUGGCCUCUGUGGUGCAUCCAGCAGGACGGCGGAGCCCAGCGUCCCGUGCGUGGUGGCGCGGCGGGGUGGUACCCCCAGGGAAGGACCGCUUCCAGGAACAACGCCGGCGUUUGCUCUCUGUGCCGGCGAUGACCGUAGCUUGUCUGGUGGAGCGGCCAACGCUGAUGCCAAUGAUUUCUUUGGCUUUUUCUCUGACUGAAUCAGAUUGCUAAAUAUUAAUCCUAAAAUAGCUGCUAUUUUUGUAGCUGACAUAAU